GGGGAUAUAGCUCAGUGGUAGAGUGCAUGCCUAGCAUGCACGGGGUCCUGGGUUCAAUCCCCAGUACCCCCU
Molecule: transfer RNA, 72 nt
Filed under: Camelus dromedarius (Arabian camel)
Lineage: Eukaryota; Metazoa; Chordata; Mammalia; Artiodactyla; Camelidae
Also listed under: 1 other name
Rfam family: tRNA
About the family: Transfer RNA (tRNA) molecules are approximately 80 nucleotides in length. Their secondary structure includes four short double-helical elements and three loops (D, anti-codon, and T loops). Further hydrogen bonds mediate the characteristic L-shaped molecular structure. tRNAs have two regions of fundamental functional importance: the anti-codon, which is responsible for specific mRNA codon recognition, and the 3' end, to which the tRNAs corresponding amino acid is attached (by aminoacyl-tRNA synthetases). tRNAs cope with the degeneracy of the genetic code in two manners: having more than one tRNA (with a specific anti-codon) for a particular amino acid; and 'wobble' base-pairing, i.e. permitting non-standard base-pairing at the 3rd anti-codon position.
Source: Rfam by way of RNAcentral